This 253-nucleotide ribosomal RNA is filed under the name uncultured bacterium. RNAcentral's name for it is "partial 16S ribosomal RNA". It matches the Rfam family "Bacterial small subunit ribosomal RNA", at positions 524 to 776 of the family's 1533-position model. The record is from RNAcentral.
AGCGUAGGAGACAAGCGUUAUCCGGAGUUACUGGGCGUAAAGGGCGUGCAGGUGGCUUGAUAAGUUCGGCGUGAAAUUUCCCGGCUUAACCGGGGGAUGUCGUCGGAGACUGUCGAGCUAGAGGGUGAUAGAGGCGUGUGGAAUUCCGGGUGUAGUGGUGAAAUGCGUAGAGAUCCGGAGGAACACCAGUGGCGAAGGCGACACGCUGGGUCAUACCUGACACUAAAACGCGACAGCAUGGGGAGCGAACGGG